GCAAAGGACCAAAUGUAGAACAGAG
RNAcentral lists this non-coding RNA (25 nucleotides) under Cricetulus griseus (Chinese hamster). Lineage: Eukaryota; Metazoa; Chordata; Mammalia; Rodentia; Cricetidae. The record is from RNAcentral.